GAGCAGGAGCCGCCGCUCUGGGCUCCGAGGCGCCUUCAAGGAGCGCGCGCUGGCAGCGCUCUAUUUUGCAGCCGGGGAUCCCGGUGGAGCCUUCGCCGUAUAGUACGAGCGAACGAACACGAGAGGCUGCCCGCCGGGGAGCUCGGGCUCUCGAAACAAAGGUCUGCGCGGUGCGAAGGGCGUUAAUGACGCCUGGCGCCCGGCGAGGCUGCCGCAUUUGUUCCCCGAGCGCCGCCGCCUUACAGCCCGCCCCGCCGUAGGGGAUACCGGCGUGCAAAGCGCUGUGCGCAGCUAGUGUCGAGGGCUGCCAACUCUAGGCAGCUUUCGCUAAUCGAACGCGAGAUGUUUUCGAAGAACGCUGUUGCCUGAACGGCUGUCAGCAGGCGGCCCCGCGGCGUAGCGGCUGCCUCGGCCCUGACGCCGUGAGCUGCCCCCGCUGGAAAGGUCAGCCUCGCGUUUUUGGAAGAUGGUCAGAAUCAUUUCCAUGACUCAAGUUUCCCUUUUCUUUGUGGGGGGAAAAAAACAAACAAACAAACAAAUGUGAAAACUGCAUCGUAGGAGAAAGACCUCAUCCUAAGGUAAUGUGUUUUUUUUAUUAUUAUUUUUCUAAUAAGGAUUUAGCCAAGGUAGUAAAGCUGAAAAGCUUGAGAAUCACUUGAUUUAAAUUCAGGUCUGCCUGCAGUGAUAAUUUUACCAGUAACACAGAGAAACUAUUUGCCUAGCGCAGACGUGUAUAGACCCCGAGUAUGGGGUGACCUUCUAGAAUGCUACGGUUUUGCUGCACAGUUAGAUUAAUGGCUAAGAGGAAAAUUGAUUACAGGGAACUACAUAAUAGCAUGGGGUCUGUUCAAAGCUAGCUGCAAUGGCUUAUUGUUUUCCAUGUUACUUUACGAUUAAAAAACACCACAGGUUUCAAUAGAUGCACUGGAAUGUAUAGUACUUAAUUUUCAAAAUUGUAUGUUUUGUUCGUUUCCUCAGUUCUUAAGUAACAGAGAUUUGUCUUUAUGUACUUAUUGUGCAAUUAUCUUUGCUUAAUUACUUUUGCAAUUAUAUGCUUUCUCUUACUUUCUUGUAGCCUUGUCAGAAUCUAUGCAAAAAAAAAAAAA
Non-coding RNA from Meleagris gallopavo (turkey), 1106 nucleotides. The record is from RefSeq and is a predicted model, not a curated record. Lineage: Eukaryota; Metazoa; Chordata; Aves; Galliformes; Phasianidae.